RNAcentral lists this ribosomal RNA (472 nucleotides) under uncultured Anaerolineaceae bacterium. RNAcentral describes it as "bacterial SSU rRNA". It matches the Rfam family "Bacterial small subunit ribosomal RNA", at positions 897 to 1382 of the family's 1533-position model. The record is from RNAcentral. Lineage: Bacteria; Bacillati; Chloroflexota; Anaerolineae; Anaerolineales; Anaerolineaceae.
AAACUCAAAUGAAUUGACGGGGACCCGCACAAGCAGCGGAGCGUGUGGUUUAAUUCGUUGCUACACGAAGAACCUUACCUGGGUUUGACAUAUAGGUUGUAGGGAACUGAAAAGGGACCGACCCUUCGGGGAACCUAUUACAGGUGUUGCAUGGCUGUCGUCAGCUCGUGUCGUGAGAUGUUCGGUUAAGUCCGCUAACGAGCGCAACCCUCGUCGUAUGUUAUAUGUGUCAUACGAGACUGCCGGUAAAAAGCCGGAGGAAGGUGAGGAUGAUGUCAAGUCAGCAUGACCUUUAUAUCCAGGGCUACACACACGCUACAAUGGUCUGUACAAUGGGUAGCCAAGCCGCGAGGCGGAGCCAAUCCUGAAAGCAGGCCUCAGUUCAGAUUGCAGUCUGCAACUCGACUGCGUGAAGUCGGAAUCGCUAGUAAUCGCGGAUCAGCACGCCGCGGUGAAUACGUUCCCGGGCCUU